Long non-coding RNA from Olea europaea var. sylvestris, 1250 nucleotides. RefSeq lists it as uncharacterized. The transcript has 3 exons. Lineage: Eukaryota; Viridiplantae; Streptophyta; Magnoliopsida; Lamiales; Oleaceae. The record is from RefSeq and is a predicted model, not a curated record.
AAUUAGACAAAUUGUUUCUUUUCUUGAUAGUAUAAUCAUAUUAAACUGACUAAUAAAGCAUAAAUUAAACGUUUAUAGGAGAGGAUUACAUUUAGAAAAUGAAGAAAAAGCUUUGUUGGUCUUUCCUUGAUCAACUAUGCAAAUGAAGCUUAAAAAUAGGAAAACCAUUACAAAGAGAGAGUUGCAUACGAAAAAUGAAUAACUAUUUUUGCAUGCUAACAAUUUUAUGUAGAGACAGACAAAAUGUUCUUUUGGAUUUUGGAGAAAUGACCAAUUGGGUAUAAAGUACAAUAUCACAUUUUUCUAAUUUUAUUGCAACCAGGUAAUAGGAAGCCGGGCAGCUCACUAAUUAACUUUUACUUAUCUAUGAGUUGGUCUGUGCCUAAAGUAAAAUCAUUAAAUAUAUUGAUAUAUAUAGUUAAUUUCCUUUCUAUUAAACUUUACAAGGAUUUUUUCUAAUGUGAUGUCAAUUGUUAGGCAGUUGAAACUUGAAUCAUUAAUUUUGGAUGUGGAGCUAUAUUGCUCUCUAAAUAAUUCAGUAACUAUUAGAGGUACUUAACAUAUAGGAUAUUGAUUAAUAGAUGGGCGACUUUACAUUCGGUUAGACACAAAUAUGUAUCAAUUAUAUGUCUUAUAUAUGCAACUUAGCCUGUUUUUGCUAUUUAAUAUUGAUCUGGCUUACUUCUUUCUGUAGGCUGUUCCAACAUCCAGGGGUCAAGCACUUGCUGAUGAAUAUGGAAUUAAAUUCUUUGAGACUAGUGCAAAGACUAAUAUGAAUGUGGAGGAGGUUUUCUUCUCAAUAGGCAGGGAUAUAAAGCAAAGACUUUCUGAGACGGACUCAAGACCUGAGGCUCCAUCCAUUAGGAUUACCCAAGCGGACCAAACUGCAGGGGGUGCUCAAGCAGCACAGAAGUCAGCUUGCUGUGGUUCCUGAGCAAAUCCUUUGCAUCGAAGGUAGGCCGACCAAUUACAUAACCAUUUUGUGGGAGGAAUUAAUGUUAUGACAAUACCGAUGUUGCCUGUAAUGUUGUCAUUCUCAUUUAAUAUAGUCUCUACACAAUUGUGUUUUGGGAGUAAGUUUAUAUUUGAGAAAGUAAUAGCAUUUAAGUCUUUCUCAUGAACUCUUCUUCACUGGGUUGACUGAAGAUGAUAAUUUAGUAAAUUGGUUUUAUUUUAUGAUUCAUUUGAGUGUAAAAUUGAAGCUGCUCUCUUUUAUAUUGGUCCAAACGUGGUGUUAUUGAACAUUGUUA